AGUGAACACUGGCGGUAGGCCUAACACAUGCAAGUCGAACGGCAGCACAGUAAGAGCUUGCUCUUACGGGUGGCGAGUGGCGGACGGGUGAGGAAUACAUCGGAAUCUACUUUUUCGUGGGGGAUAACGUAGGGAAACUUACGCUAAUACCACAUACGACCUACGGGUGAAAGCAGGGGAUCUUCGGACCUUGCGCGAUUGAAUGAGCCGAUGUCGGAUUAGCUAGUUGGCGGGGUAAAGGCCCACCAAGGCGACGAUCCGUAGCUGGUCUGAGAGGAUGAUCAGCCACACUGGAACUGAGACACGGUCCAGACUCCUACGGGAGGCAGCAGUGGGGAAUAUUGGACAAUGGGCGCAAGCCUGAUCCAGCCAUACCGCGUGGGUGAAGAAGGCCUUCGGGUUGUAAAGCCCUUUUGUUGGGAAAGAAAAGCAGCAGGUUAAUACCCCGCUGUUCUGACGGUACCCAAAGAAUAAGCACCGGCUAACUUCGUG
RNAcentral lists this ribosomal RNA (492 nucleotides) under uncultured bacterium. Its description in RNAcentral is "partial 16S ribosomal RNA". It matches the Rfam family "Bacterial small subunit ribosomal RNA", at positions 29 to 507 of the family's 1533-position model. The record is from RNAcentral.